Molecule: long non-coding RNA, 831 nt
Filed under: Anser cygnoides (Swan goose)
Lineage: Eukaryota; Metazoa; Chordata; Aves; Anseriformes; Anatidae
Description: lncRNA (ENSACDG00005013426.1)
Source: RNAcentral
CAGAUGCUCUGCAGCUCAAUGGGGACUUUUGGCACUCGAUACACUGUCGAUGAAAUGAAGACACGUUUUCUCAUAGGAGAUUGUUCAUCCCUCUGACUCGGAGUGCUGAUGGCAGAGGAUGCAUUAUUCAUGUGCCAUUACAGAGCACAGAGGAAGACGGAGCAUUUUGGAGGAACUACGAGGGAAUUUCAGACUUUUGGAGCAUUUGGCCUUCUGCAACACACCAAGAGCUAAAAAAUCCACUCAUUCUCUUGGCAUUUGUUGUUGUGGUUGAUUCCUCACUCCACCCAUGUGGGCUUAAAAUACCGGCAUCUAUUUUCUCACGUGAGAGCAUGGAAGAUGUCUCACCUGGCACUAACUCUCAGCCAUUGGUUCCCAUCACAAUAUUUCUCUGCCAACAUGAAGCACCCCACGGAAGCUGGUGGCUUCUCCUUGCAAGGGCACCAGUUGAUGAAAUCAAGCCAAGGCACAUGUAAUACAUGAGGCUCCCGUGAGCCUUCGUGGUGAAGCAUAAUGCUGCAGACCGGGACUGCCUUCCUCACCUCCUCAUCCUUGCCAGGGCCUGAGGGCUUGCCUGUUGGUGUCAUUCCUCUGGCAUCUCCACCACGGGAUGCCUGGCAUCCCUCACAAGGAGUUGAAGACAGCAGUAAAUGAGAAGUUGAAGCAUUCUCCUAACAAGAAGCUGUAACUCCUGAAGUCUAUGAUCCAAGGUAAGCCCAAGAUGCAAGGCUUCUGUAUCUCCUUCUUAAAGUCAAACUUGCUUCAUGAAUACCAGGCCAGACCAAAAUACAUAUUGAGUGCUGUGCUGCCUUUCCUGGAGUUAUAUCAUUA